Ctenopharyngodon idella (grass carp) is the source of this 3190-nucleotide RNA transcript. It is a transcript of the gene named protein FAM13A-like, with no coding region annotated. The transcript is spliced from 6 exons. The record is from RefSeq and is a predicted model, not a curated record. NCBI's taxonomy places the organism in Eukaryota, Metazoa, Chordata, Actinopteri, Cypriniformes, Xenocyprididae.
UAUUGUUAAAUAUGCUUUAAGGUUACUUAUUUACAUUUCUGUCUUUUAAUUGUUAAUGUAUGCACAUAAUAGUUUGUUGAUGGGAAUCUAACACAGCCAGACUUCAGCAGAUUCUAUUCUCAGUGAAGCGCUAUUAUGACGCGAGUGAUGCAGCAGGUAUAUAUGAACAUACUGAACUAGAAUUCUCUGUUGGGUGAUUUGGCGAUUGAUGCGGUUGGUGUUUUUGGUGCGGUUGGCGAGUUUCUACAGUUAUUGAAUUCCUUUGAUUAUUGAUUUUCGGUUUUUGACUCUCUUUCGGACUUUGACUAUCGGCUUUGGAUUUGCGACACAUUUUGAUUCUCGGUUUUUGACUCCCUUCUGUUUUUGACGCUCGAUUUUUGACUUCUUUGGAUUCCCGUUUUUGACCCUUUUCUGGUUUUGACUCUCGGCUUCGGACUCUCCUCGGAUUGGUUAACAGCUCGGCGACUGAAAAAAACGCCGAUCCUUUCAUUGAAAUGGGAGUGUUCGGAGUUUUAUCAGUGUGUGUAAGUAUGCAAUAUACACAACACAGCAGACUAAGGGCGUCUUUGCGUGAUUACAGUGAUUACAGGAAGGGUUUUUUAGACGCAAAGACGCGUUCUGUGUAAUUUUUGACAUGGAAAAAAAGAAUAAUCGCACUGGCUAUGGCCUCCUCCGCCAUGUUACCGUCAAAUAAAUCAGUUGCCAUAGAAUUUAAUGCUCUACCCUGUAUCAUGUAAGAUCUAUGUGUAUCCCAGAUUUUUGUUUGUUUGGUUGUUUGUUUCUUAUGUUAAAUGCCAUUGUAUGUUUUUCUGAAAGUUGAAUAAAAAAUAAAUAAAUAAAUAAAAAUAUAAAAAUAAAUCAGUUGCCAUGCCAACUGUAAACAAAAGCUCGCAACGCUUGCCCCGCCUCCGAGUUCUUCUGAUUGGUCCACUGGCGCUGCGUGUAAAAGUUGUAAUUCUUUGAACUUGACAUGGCGUCUUAAAAUGCGGCGCGUUUUUUUUUCAGUCUUGUUUUCAUUAUCAAGUAUUGAAAUUAACAAACGAUAUCCUGUAAAUUGGUGUUAAUGUACAUGGAGAAACGCUAUAAUAAAUGUUAAUGUUUCCUGACUAUACACUUUGUUACUAAAAUGCGCACUUGUUAGACAGCUUCAUGUAAACUUAUUUUCUUGUGCACUCUUUACAGUACAUUAUUUCCCAGUAAACCUUUCUGAUUUGUUUGUUUUUCCUGAACUUUUCCUGAACUUGUGCAGCUGGAAACACAGAGAGCUGUGUUUGGUGUGCCCCUGAUCGGCCUGAGGAGGAGUGGACAGAUGAGGCAGGGUCUUCCUCUAGCGCUCAUGCACAUAGUGGAGUUUGUGGAGAAGCAUGGUCUCAGAGAGAGUGGACUGUUCAGGGUUGGCGGGAAAGUGAAACGCUGCCAGGAAUUGAGGAAAAGUUUUGAUCAAGGAGGCGUUCCGGAGUUUGACAGUGAGGAUAUUCCUACUCUCGCCUCAUUACUGAAACUUUUCCUCAGGGAAUUACCUGGUGGACUUAUUCCAGAGCCACACAGGACACAACUGCUGAAUGUGUUCAGGGAUUCAAAAGAGGAAGAAAUGAAUCAGGCUUUGAGGACAAUCCUGAACAGUCUUCCUGAGGAACAUUUUAACGUCCUCUGCUACCUGUCAUUCUUCCUGUCCCGUGUGGCUGCCGGGAGUCAUCUAAAUCUUAUGACAUCCAAGAACUUGUCAAUAGUUUUUGGACCCACCAUCUUUCAGAGGCAGGGGACACUCACUGGACUGAUGAAGAGUGUGUCCAACAGCUGCCACUCACAGAAAUCAGAUCAGAGCUACCUAAAAUUGGACGACUUGGGCGAUUGAGAAAAAGAUUAAGAAGUUUUGGAAGAAAGUUUUGCUCAUGCUUUGGCAGUAACAAAAUAGAGAAUGGAGAGGUCUCUGCAUGAAUGGAGACCUAGACGUAGGUCAGUAGAAGAUAAUUGGGCCGAUGAUCCUGACUGCAAGACACUGCAAUCGUUAAGGGUCACUGGAAGACAUUGUGGCCGGUGAGGGUCUCCAGAAGAAAAUGGGGCCGCCCUGUAAGACACUGGGGCCGAUGAGCCUCAUCUCGAGACACUGGAGCUGGUGACCUUCACCGUAAGACACUGGGGCUGGUGUGGGUCAUCGGAAGACAUUGGGGCUGCUGAGGGUCACUGGAAGACACUGGGGUCAGUGAAAGUCACCACACAGCACUGGGGUCAGAGAGGGUGACCCUCACCACAAGACACUUGGGCCGGUGAAGGUCACCACAAGACACUUGGGCCGGUGACCCUCACCGUGAAACACUAGGGCUGGUGAGGUCUCCACAGAGCGCUGGGGCCGGUGAAGGUAACCGCAAGACACUAGGGCAGGUGAGGGUCACCGGAAGACAUUGGGGCCAGAGAGGUUCACCGGCAGACUUUGGGGUCGGUGAGGGUCACUGCACAGCACUGGGGCCGAUAAAGGUUACUGUAAGACAUUGGGACCGGCAUCGCAAGACACUGGGGUCGGUGAGGGUCGCUGGAAGACACUGGGGCUGGUGAGGGUCACCGGCAGACAUUGGGGUCGGUGAGGGUCACUGCACAGCACUGGGGCUGAUAAAGGUUGCUGCAAGACAUUGGGACCAGCAUCUCAAGACACUGGGGCCGGUGACCCUCACCACAAGACACUUGCCGGUGAAGGUAACCGCAAGACACUAGGGCUGGUGAGGGUCACCAAAAGACAUUGGGUGCAGUAAGUUUCACCGCACAGCAUCGGGGCUGGUGAAGGUAACCGCAAGACACAAGUGCUGGUAAGAGACACUGGGGUUGGUAAGGGUCACAGCACUGGGGUCGGUGAAGGUAACUGCAAGAUACAAGGUCUGGUGAGGGUCACUGGAAGACACUGAAGAUGGUUGUUACAUCUCCAUUAAAUGAACGUGUACUGCAUUAAACGACGACACUGACACGAGCCUUGUACUGAUCUGUUCACUGGAUGACAUUCAGGGCAUACUGCGCAUGUGCCAUAAAACAGAGCAUCGGUACGGGGUGUCGUAAGGACAAUGUACAACACUUGAAAUGCAGUACAUAACAAUGGUGAUGGACGACAGCUGGUGUGAUUAUGAAGAUACAGACAAGACCGAUGCUGAUGUUGACUCUGAAGCUGAUUCAAUUAAAGCUUGUUAUUUUCAGUCAAUUAGUA